CUUCUGGAGUUGAUGGAAAUGAUCAUCUAUGUCUGUGUUUUCUGUUGGAAGGUGUUUGAUGGUUGGAUUCUGAAGGGGGAGAAAUUCCCCAGUUCCCAGGAUCAUCCUCUCCCCACCACAAUAAUUAAAAGAUGUAAUUAUUUAUUUAUUCAGUCAUGAGAGACACAGAGAGAGAGGCAGAGACACAGGCAGAGGAAGAAGCAGGCUCCAUGCAGGGAGCCCAAUGUGGGACUUGAUCCCAGGACUCCAGGAUCACACCCUGGGCUGAAGGUAGUGCUAAACUGCUGAGCCACCCGGGCUGCCCUGUUCCAGGGUUUUAUACACGGAAUAUCCAGUCUACUAUAUGCCAAGAAUUCUGAAAUCUGUAUUAGAAUUGUAUAUGAAAUUUUCUAAUGAUUUUUUUUGUUUUCCUUUUUUCUAUUUUUUAAGCAAUCCCUAUACCCAACAAGGGGCUCAAGAGUCAGAUGUUCUACUGGCUGAGCCAGCCAGGUACCUCUUGAGUUUUCAUUUUUGCUUGAAGGUGGAAAACUUGAACCUUUUGAAGUUCCCUCGGAGGCAAGCCUACUCUGAACCUCCAACACAGGGCAUCUUUCCCAAGACACUCAGCACACCCCUGUACUCUUUUAAAGAGUUCAUGCAAAAAAAAAAAAAAAAAAGAGUUCAUGCUCCACAGGGCAUCUGCCGAAUGGAAUUUA
Molecule: long non-coding RNA, 695 nt
Organism: Canis lupus familiaris (dog)
Lineage: Eukaryota; Metazoa; Chordata; Mammalia; Carnivora; Canidae
Exons: 2
Source: RefSeq, a predicted model, not a curated record